This 74-nucleotide non-coding RNA is filed under the name unclassified sequences. Its description in RNAcentral is "S10-Clostridia ribosomal protein leader". It matches the Rfam family "S10-Clostridia ribosomal protein leader". The record is from RNAcentral.
GAUAUGCGAAGAAGCGGGAGGUUGCGACAGUUAGUCGGUUUUUCCGUGGAGUAUGUCCGAUUUUAAACCGGGCG